UACGGGGGGGGCAAGCGUUGUUCGGAAUUACUGGGCGUAAAGGGUCUGUAGGUGGCUUGCUAAGUCAGACGUGAAAUCCCUCAGCUUAACUGGGGAACUGCGUCUGAGACUGGCGAGCUUGAGGGCAGGAGAGGAACGCGGAAUUCCAGGUGUAGCGGUGAAAUGCGUAGAUAUCAGGAAGAACACCCGUGGCUAAGGCGGUUCUCUAGUACGGUACUGACGCUGAGACGCGAAAGCGUGGGGAGCGAACAGG
RNAcentral lists this ribosomal RNA (253 nucleotides) under uncultured bacterium. Its description in RNAcentral is "partial 16S ribosomal RNA". It matches the Rfam family "Bacterial small subunit ribosomal RNA", at positions 524 to 776 of the family's 1533-position model. The record is from RNAcentral.